RNAcentral lists this ribosomal RNA (2070 nucleotides) under Capsicum annuum. RNAcentral's name for it is "eukaryotic LSU rRNA". It matches the Rfam family "Eukaryotic large subunit ribosomal RNA", at positions 1232 to 3401 of the family's 3401-position model. Lineage: Eukaryota; Viridiplantae; Streptophyta; Magnoliopsida; Solanales; Solanaceae. The record is from RNAcentral.
UUAAGACAGCAGGACGGUGUUCAUGGAAGUAAAAAUCCACUAAGAAGUGUGUAACAACUCACCUUUCGAAUAAACAAGACCCAAAAAUGGAUGGCACUUAAGCAUUUGCCCUACACUCGACCGUCGAGGAAAGUUCCAUGCCCCGAUGAGUAGGAGGCCAUCGGUGCAGAUAUAGGUUGUAUUACCAAAUAUUCAAAUGAGAACUUUGAAGGCCAAAGAGGGGAAAGGUUCCAUGUGAAUAGCACUUGCAGAUGGGUUAGUCGAUCCUUAGGGUCGGAAAAACCCUGACAGAUAGAGCAUUUUGCGUACUCUAAAAGAGAAUCGGGUUAAAAUUCCUGGACCGAGAAGUGGUGGUCAACAGUAACAUUAGAAAGUCCAGAGACGUCGGUAGAAGCCUCGAGAAGAGUUAUCUUUUCUGUUAAACAGCCUACCCACCCUGGAAUCGGCUCAGCUAGAGGUAGGAUCCAGCGGCUGGAAGAGCACCGUAUAUCGCGUGGUGUCCGGUGCACUUCUGGAAGCCCUAGAAAAUCCAAAUGACCGAAUGUCGUCCACACCUGUUCGCUAUCAUAGCCUCAUCAAGUAUCCAAGGGGAACAACCUCUGGUCGAUGGAACAAUGUAGGCAAGAAAAGUCUGCAAAAUGGCUCCGUAACUUCUGGAAAAUGAUUGACACUGAGGGCUGGGCAUGGGGGUCCCAGUCCUGAACCCGUCGGCUGUCAGUGGACUACUCGAGAUGCUCCUGCAGUAAGAGCGGGUCGCUGCAUGCCAGUUUGGGUACGGAUUAGGAACGGUUCCUUCAGGGGCCUUCCCCGCGCGUUGAACAGCCAGCUCAAAACUGGUAUGGACAAGGGUAAUCUGACUGUUUAAUUAAAACAAAGCAUUGGGAUGGUCCCAAUGGAUGUUCAAGCAUUGUCAUUUCCGCCCAGUGCUCUGAAUGUCAAAGUGAAGAAAUUCAAGAAAGUGCGGGUAAACGGCAGGAGUAAUAUGAGUCUCUUAAGGUAGCCAAAUGCCUCGUUAUCUAAUUAGUGACGCGCAUGAAUGGAUUAACGAUAUUACCGCUAUCCCUAUCUACUAUCUAGCGAAACCACAACCAAGGGAAUGGGCUUGGCAGAAUUAGCUAGGAAAGAAGACCCUCUUAAGCUUGAGUCUACUCUGAAAGGCGAAAGCGAAAUACCAAUACUUUUAACAUUAUUUUACUUAUUUCAUGAAUCAAAAGUGGAGCACUACCCCUCUUUUUGGACCCAAGGCUCGCUCUGCGGGCUGAUCCGGGUGGAAGACAUUGUUAGGUAAGGAGUUUGGCUGGGGCGGCAUAUCUGUUAAAAGAUAACGCAGGUGUCCUAAGAUGAGCUCAAAGAGAAUGGAAAUAUCGUGUGGAACAGAAGCGUAAAAGCUCAUUUGAUUAUGAGUUCCAGUACAAAUACGAACCAUGAAAGCGUGGCUUAACGAUCCUGUAGACCUUCAAAAUUCCAAGCUAAAGGUGUCAGAAAAGUGUUACCACAGGGAUAACUGGCCUGUUGCAGCCAAGCGUUCAUAGUGAAAUUGUUUUUUCAUUCUUCGAUGUCGGCUCUUCCUAUCAUUGUGAAGCAGAAUUCACCAAGUGUUGGACUAUUUACCCACCAAUAGGGAAUGUGAGCUGGGUUUAGAUCAUCGUGAUAUAGGUUAGUUUUACCCUACUUAUGACAGUGUCGCAAUAAUAAUUCAACCUAGUAUGAUAGAAAACGUUGAUUCACAUAAUUUGUCAUCGCGCUUGGUUGAAAAGCCAGUGGCACAAAACUACCGUGUGCUGGAUUAUGACUGAACGCCUCUAAGUCAGAAUCCGGGCUAGAAGAGAUGCAUGCGCCUGCUAUCUUCUUGCCGACCCACAGUAGAGGCCUUGUCCCCCAAGGACACGUGUCGUUUGCUAAGCCACCACGGUGGAAGAGCCACGGUAGCCACCUUGAAGUAUAAUUUCCAUCGACCGGUGGGUAGAAUACUCUGCAGACGACUUAAAUAUGCGACAGGGUAUUAUAAGUUGAAGAGUGGCCUUGCUGCCACGAUCCACUUAGAUUCAUCCCUUUGUCGCUCUGGUUCAU